ACGCGAUGAACCUUACCAGGUCUUGACAUCCUCUGACACUCCUAGAGAUAGGACGUCCCCCUUCGGGGGACAGAGUGACAGGUGGUGCAUGGUUGUCGUCAGCUCGUGUCGUGAGAUGUUGGGUUAAGUCCCGCAACGAGCGCAACCCUUGAUCUUAGUUGCCAGCAUUUAGUUGGGCACUCUAAGGUGACUGCCGGUGACAAACCGGAGGAAGGUGGGGAUGACGUCAAAUCAUCAUGCCCCUUAUGACCUGGGCUACACACGUGCUACAAUGGAUGGUACAAAGGGCAGCAAAGCGGUGACGCCUAGCAAAUCCCAUAAAACCAUUCUCAGUUCGGAUUGUAGGCUGCAACUCGCCUACAUGAAGCUGGAAUCGCUAGUAAUCGCGGAUCAGCAUGCCGCGGUGAAUACGUUCCCGGGCCUUGCACUCACCGCCCGU
This 439-nucleotide ribosomal RNA is filed under the name uncultured bacterium. RNAcentral describes it as "bacterial SSU rRNA". It matches the Rfam family "Bacterial small subunit ribosomal RNA", at positions 959 to 1397 of the family's 1533-position model. The record is from RNAcentral.